This 695-nucleotide ribosomal RNA is filed under the name Hypocreales sp. LM581. RNAcentral's name for it is "bacterial SSU rRNA". The stretch from base 1 to 354 matches the Rfam family "Eukaryotic small subunit ribosomal RNA", at positions 1478 to 1831 of the family's 1831-position model. The record is from RNAcentral. Lineage: Eukaryota; Fungi; Ascomycota; Sordariomycetes; Hypocreales.
AGUUCUGGGCCGCACGCGCGCUACACUGACGGAGCCAGCGAGUACUUCCUUGGCCGAAAGGCCCGGGUAAUCUUGUUAAACUCCGUCGUGCUGGGGAUAGAGCAUUGCAAUUAUUGCUCUUCAACGAGGAAUCCCUAGUAAGCGCAAGUCAUCAGCUUGCGUUGAUUACGUCCCUGCCCUUUGUACACACCGCCCGUCGCUACUACCGAUUGAAUGGCUCAGUGAGGCGUCCGGACUGGCCCAGGGAGGUGGGCAACUACCACCCAGGGCCGGAAAGCUCUCCAAACUCGGUCAUUUAGAGGAAGUAAAAGUCGUAACAAGGUCUCCGUUGGUGAACCAGCGGAGGGAUCAUUACCGAGUUAUUCAACUCAUCAACCCUGUGAACAUACCUAAACGUUGCUUCGGCGGGAAUAGACGGCCCCGUAAAACGGGCCGCCCCCGCCAGAGGACCCUUAACUCUGUUUCUAUAAUGUUUCUUCUGAGUAAAACAAGCAAAUAAAUUAAAACUUUCAACAACGGAUCUCUUGGCUCUGGCAUCGAUGAAGAACGCAGCGAAAUGCGAUAAGUAAUGUGAAUUGCAGAAUUCAGUGAAUCAUCGAAUCUUUGAACGCACAUUGCGCCCGCCAGUAUUCUGGCGGGCAUGCCUGUUCGAGCGUCAUUACAACCCUCAGGCCCCCGGGCCUGGGGUUGGGGAA